This 326-nucleotide ribosomal RNA is filed under the name uncultured eukaryote. Its description in RNAcentral is "partial 18S ribosomal RNA". It matches the Rfam family "Eukaryotic small subunit ribosomal RNA", at positions 1470 to 1796 of the family's 1831-position model. The record is from RNAcentral.
CCCUUAGAUGUUCUGGGCUGCACGCGCGCUACACUGAUGCGCACAACGAGUUCUCACCUUGCUCGACAGAGUUGGGAAAACUUCUAUGCGCAUCGUGCUGGGGAUAGAGCAUUGCAAUUCUUGCUCUUCAACGAGGAAUCCCUAGUAAGGGCGCGUCAUCAACGCGUCCUGAUUACGUCCCUGCCCUUUGUACACACCGCCCGUCGCUCCUACCGAUUGAAUGGUCCGGUGAGUUGUCAGGAUGAGACGCUUUUGGCGGGCAACUGCGAGAAGCGACUCAGAAUCUCAGCAAACCUUAUCAUUUAGAGGAAGGAGAAGUCGUAACA